Long non-coding RNA from Balaenoptera acutorostrata (minke whale), 1297 nucleotides. RefSeq lists it as uncharacterized. The transcript is spliced from 2 exons. The record is from RefSeq and is a predicted model, not a curated record. NCBI's taxonomy places the organism in Eukaryota, Metazoa, Chordata, Mammalia, Artiodactyla, Balaenopteridae.
GAAGAAUCUGAAUGGUCAAGAGGGAGUCAUCCUCUCUGUGGGAUGAGCAUGGGGGAGGAAUAAUAAACAUUUCUGGAGUACUCAUACUUGCCAGCCGUGCAGAUCGCUUUAUUUGAUCUUAUAACAACUUUGUGAGUAGCUGUAAGUAUUUUUGCCAUUUAAUACAUGAGGGAGCCGAGGAAGACAGAGGUUAAAUUCUGUGCCCAAGGUCACAGCUAGUGAGGAAGAGCAAAGCUUUCCACCCAAGUGGACUUCAGAGCCUGCCGGUUAGAGAGACCUGGGUCCAUCACCUCCUGGCAGUGUGAUCUUAGACCGUGUGAAGGACUGGCCAUCUCGCACCUGGCCUGCAGCAAUCCUCUCUCUGAAUCCGCAAAGUCCCUCUUACGCCUCCCGUUUAUUCUCCAAGCCAGAUGGUGGCAAAGUGCCCACCCAGCACGCUGUCUCUGCUCACACUCGUGCAAGAUCUCAUGCUGCCCCAAGCGGUCACUGGAACCCUGUACCUGCGCACAGGGCUCUAACCUGCAGGUCCCUGCCCACCUGGGAGCCUCAGACAUGCUGUGUCCUUUUGGUUCUGACAGAUGUUCUCCUCGACCCGACUCGAGCCAAGCUCCUCUGAGCCUUCCUCUCAACUAAGCCUCAGCCUUGGCCUAUAAAGAAUGCAGAGUCUCAGCACAAAGGAUUUCAUCCACUUAUUCUACCCAAAUUAAAGGACCUAAACAAACACGAAUGUAGUUUCUAACGGCUCAAGGUCACAUCCCCAGGAUGACCCCAGCCCCCCUCAAAGUGCCUGCCUGAGAAAGCUCAAGGCCGCCUAAAGGAUUUACUGUUUGUUCCAGCCAACACCUGAGGACAGGCCCCUGACCACCCUUUCUUGGAGCACAUACUAAAAAGGGCUUCAAAUUGUGAAUCCUUCUCCUGUCCUUUUGAGAUUAUACAUGUAUCUCCUACAACUCAGAGUGUCUUUCUCAAGGAUCUAAACUCCAUUCCUUUGAAAUGAAACCAUUAGGAAGGACAGGCCCCUUGCCUCCCAGUCUCUGUGAGAGGAUUGAAUCCUUACCUCCAUCACUGCCAGAUACAGACACAGAGGCCUAACCACACUCAUAGUGACCAACGCUCGCUAGUUUUUCACAUCCCUGACUCUGCUCGAGGCCCCGCUGGUCUCCUCCCAGCUCCCUGAUUCUCUCUUUAAAACACCCGGUCAUCUCUGUACAAAUUGAAGUUCAGUUCAGUUCAUGCCGGACCUGCUUCCCUAUUGCAGGAGCAUAACGCUGAUUAAAAUAUGUUCUUUCCACUUUAA